UACGUAGGGUGCAAGCGUUGUCCGGAAUUAUUGGGCGUAAAGAGCUCGUAGGCGGUUUGUCGCGUCUGCUGUGAAACGCGGGGCUCAACUCCGCGCCUGCAGUGGGUACGGGCAGACUAGAGUGCAGUAGGGGAGACUGGAAUUCCUGGUGUAGCGGUGGAAUGCGCAGAUAUCAGGAAGAACACCCGUGGCUAAGGCGGCUCUCUAGUACGGUACUGACGCUGAGACGCGAAAGCGUGGGGAGCGAACAGG
Molecule: ribosomal RNA, 252 nt
Filed under: uncultured bacterium
Lineage: Bacteria
Description: partial 16S ribosomal RNA
Rfam family: Bacterial small subunit ribosomal RNA
Source: RNAcentral